This 3085-nucleotide small RNA is filed under the name Pongo abelii (Sumatran orangutan). Its description in RNAcentral is "retained intron". The record is from RNAcentral. Lineage: Eukaryota; Metazoa; Chordata; Mammalia; Primates; Hominidae.
CUUACACGUCUCAAAUUCUUUUUAAAAAUUUGGGAGUGUUCCCGCUUUGCAAGCAUCCCGAGUGCGUCCUGGGUGUGACUCUUCUGUGAUCUGGCACUUGGCACAGGAAGUAAAAGCGGUAGACAUUUUUACAGGGUACAGGUGAUCAACUAGUGGGGCUGCAAAAUCUCUGGAACCAGCUGCCCACUCUGCACACAAGGGCCACGCCCACCGCUGUCUGGGCAGAAGUGAGAAUUCAGGGGAGCAUGGAAAUCAGAACAGACCCAUCUCUGAAUGGCCUCGGGCUGUGCGGCUCAUGAGGGGCACAGAACCCACGCCAGUGAAACAUCAGGGAAUGGAAGGAGGUGGGAACCUUUGCCCACCUUUGCAGCAAGAGCCGUUUCAUCUCAAUGUCUUCAUCAGCCUGGACACAGAGGGCUGCAGUGGGACGGCCCUGGGUUCUCUGCAGGUUGGCACCGAAGCCAAUACAUGGGCUCUGGUGGCGAGUGCCGCGUGACUUGGCUUCAACACUACCCAACAGUCUGGAAUUCAUCAGUUGGGGGUGGAGGUUUCCAUUGUAGAAAACAAACCCACCAGGUUUGCCCAGGUGUUAACUAUUUACGGUAGAAACAGAGGCCAGCCAGGCAGUCUCAGGCUGUCUCUGCCAUCUGGGGUUCCAGACAGUGAAAUGGAGGCAGCAGAGACAGGUGGAGGCUCCCAGAGGCAGAAUUGACAGGGGAGGGCACCCAGGAAGCCAGAAUUAACAGGUGAAGGUGCCCAGGGCCAUCUGAAGCACAUAUGCAGCCUCCAAGUCUCACUCGCCCAGAGUGGACCCAGAAGAGCCACUGGAUGGAGCCCAGGGGAGUCUGGGCUUGGGGUCAGGGUCUCCAGGACUCUGCUCCAUCAUGGGCCUUCUAGUAAGAAGAGUCAGUUCUUCGGACUGGAGGUCUUCCCAGAAAACAAAACAUUUCUUUCAGCCUGAUGCAGUGGUUCACGCCUGUAAUCCCAGCACUUUGGGAGGUUAAGGUGGCAGGAUCCCUUGAGCCCAGGACUUCAAGACCAGCCUGAGCAACAUAGGGAGACCCUGUCUCUACAGAUAGUUUUUAAAAUUAGCUGUGGGUGUGGUGGCAGGCACCUGUGGCCCAAGGUACUCGGGAGGCUGAAGUAGGAGGAUCACUUGAGCCCAAGAGGUCGAGGCUGCAGUGAGCCAUGAUUGUCCACUGCACUCCAGCCUGGGCAACAGAGCAAGAAACUGUCCCCCCCCCGCCAAAAAAAGUUUCUUCCUUCCUAACCUGGGAUUUAUCUUUUUGGAAGAUUCCAAAGUCCCAGCAAUGGCGUCCAGACACAAGGUUGUGUGAUGGUGGGCUGGGGAUAAAGGUGGGGUGAAGACUUGGCAGGAGGAACAUACCCCGACCCUCCAUCCUUACUGCCUCCGGUCUGCCUGCCCUGCAGUGGGGUUGUUAGAAUCUGGGUCAGGGGCUCACACGUGGCCUGGGCCCACUGCCACCCUCUCCAGAUGCUAUCUCCCCAGCUGGCCAGUGGGCUCUCGUCCCUGCUGUCCCUCCCCCUACAGUGCAAAGGGACAAGGAGCCGGGCCCACGGGGGAUGCUGUAGAGAUAAGACCUGGGUACACUGAGGAGGGGUAAGGGGCUGGGCCUCGUCAAGAAGCCCUCCUACCCACCCUGUCAGAAUGCCUGGAGCCGGAGCCCACUCCAAGGCAGCUGGUUUCCCCCCCAGAGGCCUCCAGGUGGAGCAGGUCUUUGCUCUGCUCCUGGGUUCCCCCAGGGAGAGGAAGACUGACCCACCUGCAGGAAGGGAGAGGCUGGGAUGCCAAUUACAGCCUGGGAUCCAUGGAAUGGCCAGGAACAUGGGUCUGGCUGAGGGCUGCAGGCUGGGAUCCCUGGCUCUGCCACUCCCCAGCUGGUGACAGGAGGUUGCUGUGCCACUCCAGGGCUCUGUUUCUUCAUCUGCAAAAUGGGGAGGGUGUGAUGGCUCACUGGGCAGUGAGGACCCAGUGAGUUUCGAACAGUCUGUGUGGCUCACACACAGUGUUGAGGAAAACCAGCCCGUCCUUAUUAUCAUCCCCAGUCCAAAUGCCCUUUCCUCCUCGACCUGCUCCCAGGCCACCCUCCCGGACAGCCGCUGUGGGGGAAGAUGAGAACGGGAGGAAAGUGAGAGCAGGACUCAGCACUGGGAAGAGGGAGCGGGAGGGGGACUUUGGCAGGCAGUGGGGAGAGGUUAUGGGCAGAGGCCAAGCACCUUUCCUGCAGCCUCUGGCCACCUGGAGCUCGGAUGGUGGGGCUGUGCUGAGUCUGACUCCAGAAACCCUCAUCCCAGCUGUGCUCAGGGGGGUAGAUAACAAGUUCCACUUUCCCUCUCCAGUUCUCUUCUGGGAGGUGGGUACCCCAGGCUUCGGGGGAUGACACCCAGGGGUGAGGGUUGCUCAGGGGCAGACUGGGGAGGAUCACAAUUGGGAAAGAAUCCUAGCAGAGCCCCAGGCAGAAGAGUCAGGACGGAGUAGACCCUGGUGUUCUGAACCCCGCACUUGUCCGGGCAGUGUGGGAAGGGGGGCCCGGCGCGGGGAGGUGCCCCGGGAAUGUCCCCAAGGGCUCCACCGGUGUCGCUGGGGUUCUCAGGCAUAGGUUUUGGUGGGAAAAGGGUCGGGGAAGGCAGUGACUAGGUCUCUGCUUUUGUUUUAGGCUGGAAGCUAAAUCCAGUGGUCGGCGCAGUCUACGGGCCUGAAUUCUAUGCAGUGACGGGGUUCCCCUACCCCACCACCGGCACAGCCGUUGCCUACCGGGGCGCACAUCUUCGGGGCCGGGGCCGGGCCGUGUAUAAUACGUUUCGGGCUGCGCCACCCCCACCCCCCAUCCCGACUUACGGAGCGGUCGUGUAUCAGGAUGGAUUUUAUGGUGCUGAGAUUUAUGGAGGCUACGCAGCCUACAGAUACGCUCAGCCCGCUGCAGCGGCGGCAGCCUACAGCGACAGUUACGGCAGAGUCUACGCAGCUGCCGACCCGUACCAUCACACCAUCGGGCCCGCGGCGACCUACAGCAUUGGAACCAUGUGAAACCUUCCACCGUUUCCUUCUCGGACCAUGAAGGGC